RNAcentral lists this ribosomal RNA (343 nucleotides) under uncultured bacterium. RNAcentral's name for it is "bacterial SSU rRNA". It matches the Rfam family "Bacterial small subunit ribosomal RNA", at positions 355 to 715 of the family's 1533-position model. The record is from RNAcentral.
UGGGGAAUCUUGCGCAAUGGGCGAAAGCCUGACGCAGCAACGCCGCGUGCGGGAUGAAGGCCCUCGGGUCGUAAACCGCUUUCAGCAGGGAUGAAAAUGACAGUACCUGCAGAAGAAGCCCCGGCUAAAUACGUGCCAGCAGCCGCGGUAAUACGUAUGGGGCAAGCGUUAUCCGGAUUUAUUGGGCGUAAAGCGCGCGUAGGCGGCUUGUUAAGUCAGGUGUGAAAUCCGGGGGCUCAACCCGCGGCUUGCACCUGAAACUGGCAGGCUUGAGGCUGGUAGGGGAAAGUGGAAAUCCUGGUGGAGCGGGGAAAUGCGGAGAUAUCAGGAGGAACACCAGUGG